CGGGAUGAGUCUAUGAAUAUUUGGGUAAAAGAAAAGUGAUUGGUGAAGGGACAAACCUCCCUGGAAGGCUUGGUGAGCUCAAGGAUACUCUCCGACUUCAGGGAGAGGAGAAGAAAAUAAGAAAUUUGAAUGAAGACAUUGAACUACUUUGAGGGAACAAAGUUUGUUAUCCUGAUACACCAAAUCUUCAACGAUGUCAAUAAGGCAACGUUCACGCCCUUUGGCUAAAAGACUGAGUCUUCCAAGACCACUGGUCGUCCAGACAGGGCCGCGGUUCUUCUGGGGAAGCAUGAGGUUGUGCGUAUUUCAAUCAGUCACUCCACGAAGUGUCCAAAGCUGCUAAGCAGAGUGAAUCUCGGUACAGACAGCAGUGGAAUUCCAGAAGAUGCAGCCUCACCAGCAGAUGAGGUCCGGCCGGAAUCAGGUGGCACCUUCUCCAGGAAGCCUGCCCUGAGCGCAGAUCCAAAGAAGCCCCAGUCAGUGGUGUGUCCCGGCUUUCCCUUUCAUUUUCUCCUUAGCAUGUAAAUACUCUGGUAAGAAGCAUGAAGUUCAAGGGUUUGGCGAGAACAAAUUUUUCAAACAUAUCGAUAAGCUAAUGUUUUCUCAUUGUUAUGCUGCUGUGAUCUGCUGUAAAAUUAAUUAAGGAAUCUAGUGUAAAGUACUCUGAAGGCUUAUAAUACACUCCCCGUUUUUUUAAGGAAUCAAGUCAUUACUGUAGAGGGCAUGCGAAAAUUGGG
This is a long non-coding RNA of Rhinolophus ferrumequinum (greater horseshoe bat), 737 nucleotides long. RefSeq lists it as uncharacterized. NCBI's taxonomy places the organism in Eukaryota, Metazoa, Chordata, Mammalia, Chiroptera, Rhinolophidae. The transcript is spliced from 3 exons. The record is from RefSeq and is a predicted model, not a curated record.